RNAcentral lists this ribosomal RNA (253 nucleotides) under uncultured bacterium. RNAcentral describes it as "partial 16S ribosomal RNA". It matches the Rfam family "Bacterial small subunit ribosomal RNA", at positions 524 to 776 of the family's 1533-position model. The record is from RNAcentral.
UACGUAGGGGGCAAGCGUUGUCCGGAUUCACUGGGUUUAAAGGGAGCGUAGGUGGCCUUAUAAGUCAGUGGUGAAAUCUCUGGGCUUAACCCAGAAAUUGCCAUUGAUACUGUAGGGCUUGAGUAUAGAUGCCGUUGGCGGAAUAUGACAUGUAGUGGUGAAAUACAUAGAGAUGUCAUAGAACACCGAUUGCGAAGGCAGCUAACGAAACUAUAACUGACACUGAGGCUCGAAAGUGUGGGGAUCAAACAGG